UAUCUCUCCGUACGGGGAAGGAUGAGAAGCUUCGACUAAGGUUCGAUUCGAGCGAAAGCGAGAAAGCGUUGCCAACGGCAACGACCCAAAGGGCGAAGCGCGCAGCGCUGAGUAAUCCUUCCCCCGUCAUCC
RNAcentral lists this small RNA (132 nucleotides) under Salmonella enterica subsp. enterica serovar Rubislaw. Its description in RNAcentral is "RtT sRNA". It matches the Rfam family "RtT RNA". Rfam says of the family: This family represents a bacterial cis-regulatory element known as RtT RNA. The exact function of RtT is unknown although it is thought that it may be involved in changing the cellular response in relation to amino acid starvation. RNAcentral also lists the same sequence under 2 other names. The record is from RNAcentral. Lineage: Bacteria; Pseudomonadati; Pseudomonadota; Gammaproteobacteria; Enterobacterales; Enterobacteriaceae.